This 122-nucleotide small RNA is filed under the name Mytilus galloprovincialis (Mediterranean mussel). Lineage: Eukaryota; Metazoa; Mollusca; Bivalvia; Mytilida; Mytilidae. The record is from RNAcentral.
UCGCGGAGAUACCUUAUUGUUUUUCUCCUGUUUUUUACGGUCUUUCCUCGCGGAGAGGAAAGACCGUAAAAAACAGGAGAAAAACAAUAAGGUCUUUCCUCGCGGAGAGGAAAGACCUUAAU